CAGCAGCCGCGGUAAUACAGAGGGUGCAAGCGUUAAUCGGAAUUACUGGGSGUAAAGCGCACGUAGGCGGCGUYAUAAGUUGGAUGUGAAAUCCCCGGGCUUAACUUGGGAAUUGCAUUCAAGACUGUSYGCUGGAGUAUGGGAGAGAGAAGUGGAAUUCCAGGWGUAGCGGUGAAAUGCGUAGAUAUCUGGAGGAACAUCAGUGGCGAAGGCGGCUUCUUGGCCCAAUACUGACGCUGAGGUGCUAAAGCGUGGGGAUCAAACAGGAUUAGAUACCCUGGUAGUCCACGCUGUAAACGAUGAGAACUAGACGUUGGAAGGAUCUGCCUUUCAGUGUCGUARCUAACGCGMUAAGUUCUCCGCCUGGGGAGUACGGCCGCAAGGUU
RNAcentral lists this ribosomal RNA (386 nucleotides) under uncultured Gammaproteobacteria bacterium. RNAcentral's name for it is "bacterial SSU rRNA". It matches the Rfam family "Bacterial small subunit ribosomal RNA", at positions 509 to 895 of the family's 1533-position model. Lineage: Bacteria; Pseudomonadati; Pseudomonadota; Gammaproteobacteria. The record is from RNAcentral.